Molecule: ribosomal RNA, 464 nt
Filed under: uncultured bacterium
Lineage: Bacteria
Description: partial 16S ribosomal RNA
Rfam family: Bacterial small subunit ribosomal RNA
Source: RNAcentral
GGACGAACGCUGGCGGCGUGCUUACCACAUGCAAGUCGAACGGUGAACCUCUUCGGAGGGGAUCAGUGGCGAACGGGUGAGUAACACGUGGGCAACCUGCCCCCGGCUCUGGGAUAACUCCAAGAAAUUGGGGCUAAUACCGGAUGUUCACCGCUUCCCGCAUGGGUGGUGGUGGAAAGGGUUUCCGGCUGGGGAUGGGCCCGCGGCCUAUCAGCUUGUUGGUGGGGUAGUGGCCUACCAAGGCGACGACGGGUAGCCGGCCUGAGAGGGUGACCGGCCACACUGGGACUGAGACACGGCCCAGACUCCUACGGGAGGCAGCAGUGGGGAAUAUUGCGCAAUGGGCGGAAGCCUGACGCAGCGACGCCGCGUGGGGGAUGACGGCCUUCGGGUUGUAAACCUCUUUCAGCAGGGACGAAGCGCAAGUGACGGUACCUGCAGAAGAAGCACCGGCCAACUACGUG